GACGAACGCUGGCGGCGUGCUUAACACAUGCAAGUCGAACGAUGAAGCCUAGCUUGCUAGGUGGCUUAGUGGCGAACGGGUGAGUAAUACGUGAGUGACCUACCUUUGACUCUGGGAUAAGCCUGGGAAACUGGGUCUAAUACCGGAUACGACCAAUCUCCGCAUGGGGUGUUGGUGGAAAGCGUUAUGGAGUGGUUUUAGAUGGGCUCACGGCCUAUCAGCUUGUUGGUGAGGUAAUGGCUUACCAAGGCGACGACGGGUAGCCGGCCUGAGAGGGUGACCGGCCAAAGUGGGAAGGAGAAAGGGCACAGACUCCUAGGGGGGGCAGCAGGGGGGAAUAUUGCACAAGGGGGGCAAGCCUGAUGCAGGGACGCCGGGGGGGGGAAGAGGGCCUUGGGGUGGUAAACCUCGGUAAGAAUCAAAGAAGAGAAAGUGAGGGGAGGUGCAGAGAAAGCGCCGGCUAACUACGU
Molecule: ribosomal RNA, 470 nt
Filed under: uncultured bacterium
Lineage: Bacteria
Description: partial 16S ribosomal RNA
Rfam family: Bacterial small subunit ribosomal RNA
Source: RNAcentral